RNAcentral lists this ribosomal RNA (1667 nucleotides) under metagenome. RNAcentral's name for it is "bacterial LSU rRNA". It matches the Rfam family "Bacterial large subunit ribosomal RNA", at positions 1234 to 2925 of the family's 2925-position model. The record is from RNAcentral.
GAGCAUUCUUAUCGCGGCGAAGCAGUACCGGAAGGAGCUGUGGAGUGAUAAGAAGAGAGAAUGCCGGAAUGAGUAGCGAGAGGAAGGUGAGAAUCCUUCCGGCCGAAUAUCCAAGGUUUCCAGAGUAAAGCUGAUCUGCUCUGGGGAAGUCGGGACCUAAGGCGAGGCCAAGAGGCGUAGUCGAUGGACAACAGGUUGAAAUUCCUGUACUGUCAUGUAACAGAACUGUGGGGACGCAGGGAGGAAAGAAGAGCCGGGAAUGAAGAGACCGGUGCAAGCGAGGUAGGAGUCCGAAAGGCAAAACCGUCAGACAAUCCGAAGACGUGAUGCGCAGCGAACUGAAGUAGCGAAGCUUCGGCCCCUAACUGCCAAGAACAGCCGCUAUUGUUUGCAUGACACCCGUACCGUAAACCGACACAGGUGGAUGAGGAGAGAAUCCUAAGGCCGACGGGAGAAGCAUUGUUAAGGAACUCGGCAAAAUGACCCCGUAACUUCGGGAGAAGGGGUGCCUCGAAAGAGGCCGCAGAGAAUUGGCCCAAGCAACUGUUUAGCAAAAACACAGGUCUAUGCAAAACCGAAAGGUGAGGUAUAUGGGCUGACGCCUGCCCGGUGCUGGAAGGUUAAGAGGAGAGCUUAGCGCAAGCGAAGGUUUGAAUUUAAGCCCCAGUAAACGGCGGCCGUAACAAUAACGGUCCUAAGGUAGCGAAAUUCCUUGUCGGGUAAGUUCCGACCCGCACGAAAGGCGUAAUGAUUUGGGCGCUGUCUCGACAAUGCACCCGGUGAAAUUGAAGUACCAGUGAAGAUGCUGGUUACCCGCGCCAGGACGGAAAGACCCCAUGGAGCUCUACUCUAGCUUGAUACUGGGAUUCGGUAUUGUCUGUACAGGAUAGGUGGGAGGCUAUGAACCGUGGACGCCAGUCUGCGGGGAGCCGCUGUUGGGAUACCACCCUUACAAUACUGGAUUUCUAACCUGCCGCCAUGACCUGGCGGAGGGACAAUGUCUGGUGGGGAGUUUGACUGGGGCGGUCGCCUCCGAAAGAGUAUCGGAGGCGCUCAAAGGUCCUCUCAGGAUGGACGGAAACCAUCCGAAGAGUGCAAAGGCAUAAGAGGGCUUGACUGUGACACCGACGGGUGGAGCAGGUACGAAAGUAGGACUUAGUGAUCCGGUGGUAGAAAGUGGGAUUGCCAUCGCUCAACGGAUAAAAGCUACCCUGGGAUAACAGGCUUAUCACUCCCAAGAGUUCACAUCGACGGAGUGGUUUGGCACCUCGAUGUCGGCUCAUCGCAUCCUGGGGCUGUAGCAGGUCCCAAGGGUUGGGCUGUUCGCCCAUUAAAGCGGUACGCGAGCUGGGUUCAGAACGUCGUGAGACAGUUCGGUCCCUAUCCGGCGCGGGCGUAGGAUAUUUGAGAGGAGCUGUCCUUAGUACGAGAGGACCGGGAUGGACGAACCGCUGGUGGAUCGGUUGCAUUAUCAAGUGCAUGGCCGAGUAGCCAAGUUCGGAAGGGAUAAACGCUGAAGGCAUCUAAGCGUGAAGCCCCCCUCAAGAUGAGAUAUCCCAUUCUUUAAAAGAAGUAAGACCCCUUGAAGACCACGAGGUAGAUAGGGCAGAGGUGGAAGUACGGUAACGUAUGGAGCUGACUGUCACUAAUCGGUCGAGGGCUUGACC